Molecule: ribosomal RNA, 180 nt
Filed under: uncultured Glomeromycotina
Lineage: Eukaryota; Fungi; Glomeromycota
Description: partial small subunit ribosomal RNA
Rfam family: Eukaryotic small subunit ribosomal RNA (bases 22-180)
Source: RNAcentral
GGGUUCGCCCAUUGGUCAGGCUUAAUUGUUUGUACUGGUGAGAUGAAUCUCUACCUUCUGAGGAACUUUCAUGCCAUUUAUUUGGUGUGAUUGGAAAUCAGGACUGUUACUUUGAAAAAAUUAGAGUGUUUAAAGCAGGCAAGCGCUUGAAUACAUUAGCAUGGAAUAAUGAAAUAGGAC